Molecule: long non-coding RNA, 1453 nt
Filed under: Zostera marina
Lineage: Eukaryota; Viridiplantae; Streptophyta; Magnoliopsida; Alismatales; Zosteraceae
Description: long non-coding RNA (ZMAR_LNC005708)
Source: RNAcentral
UAAAAUAUAAAACAAGAUCAAGCAUUGAUAAAAUCCAUCACCAUCGUAUUAUUCGUAUAAACAUUAAACAGGAUCGAACAUUCGUAUGAUUUUCUUUUCACGCAAAUAAUAUGUAAAAACAAGAUCAACAAAUAAAUACCAGAGAAGAGAUUUCCAGCAAGGCAGCAACAACCGUGAAGAAGAGAUUCCCGGAGAAGAUUAGGGAUUUGGUCGGGGAGAAGAUUUGUGAAAACUGAAAACUGAACUUGGAUCGUGGGGGGAUAAUGUUAGAACGACGUGUAGCCCUUGGAGGAGAAUUGGCUGGAGUUAGGCCAGCAGCAGCUCCGGUGAUCGCCGGUAGAACCAUUGAGAGAAGGAGUAAUGUCCCAAGUAGCCGUUGGGAGAUCAACUGAUUUAAACCAACUAAACCGGUCCUCUGAACCGGGUUUAAUUCGAAUAUAUUUUGUAUUAAAUUGAAUGAAUAGAGUUUACAAUAAUGAUAUACUUAUACAGAAUUACACUGACUGAUUAACUACUAAUUAACUAAUCAAUGUAAAUAAUCUGUUAUAAUCUUUAUUGAAACUUUUGCAACAACAACCCCAAACUUCUUUGAAUCACGAAUCGUGUUUAUUGAAACUUUUGCGUUUGUAACCUCGAGCUUUCCUUUAAUUACUUCGACACAUGUUUAUUGAAACUUUUGCACUCGUAACCUCGAGCUUUCCUUUAAUUACUUCGGCACAUGUUUAUUGAAACUUUUGCACUCGUAACCUCGAACUUUCCUUUAAUUACCAACUCACAUGUUUAUUGAAACUUUUGCAUAUGUAUUCUUAAGUUUCUUAUUUAUUUGGGUUAAUUGCCUGCACAUCAUUCUGUUAUUCAUAAUAUCACAUAUAUCCUGGAUAUUGGAUUAGUUUUAAUUAAGCUCUGGAUUUACAGAGUUAACUUGUUUAUUAAUUGUUUAAUUAAUCUGUUUAUUACAGAGUUAAUUCCUUUAGAUAAGGGGGAGAAGAUUUGUGAAAGUGGGGGGAAGAAUAUUGUGAAAUUUAUAUUAACCCUUAAAAAAUAUUAAUAAAAUUACAUUUACCCCUUAUUAAAAAAUUAUUACAUAUAGGCUCUUAUUUUUUACCAACUUUCCGGGGGCAAUUGCCCUCUGACCCUCUCUUCCCCCGGCUACGCCACUUUGAGGAGGAGACGGCGGCGGAUCAUCGAAGUGAACUAGCGAAGGUAGAUUGAUAGUGAUGUUCGCAAGUCGCACCAGCAGCUGUGCAUAUCAUUUCUUUUGUUUACUCAAUUGCCGUGUUGGGAAUUUUACAGAUGAUCUGAGUCGGAAAGUCGGUGGAUGAAGUAUCGACUAACAGUAGUUGAUAAUUUAAUAUCGGAUUCAUUAGAGAUUAAUUUAGGGCCAAGCUUUUCCAGCUUGUGCUCAAAGUCAGAACCCAAUCCAAUUUUGGGACAGCCUCGAGACCGUUUGAGC